Non-coding RNA from Equus caballus (horse), 1142 nucleotides. The record is from RefSeq and is a predicted model, not a curated record. NCBI's taxonomy places the organism in Eukaryota, Metazoa, Chordata, Mammalia, Perissodactyla, Equidae.
CAUAAAAAUUAAGCAGGUGACAUGGAAAAGAGUUGACAAAGCACAUUAAAUAAGGGCAUUUUGCAGGUUUUAAGAGAAAUACACCCUAAAGCCCAAGACCUACCCUUUUCCUGAAUAUAGAAUAAUUUGAGAAAAGGUAUCUCCUAACUUAGAAGAAUACACUGCUUUGCCUCAACAAUCCCGGUGUCAUUCUACUUGCCACACACUCUCCAAUCAAGACCUGAGAUUUAGUUCUCUCCCCUCAUUCUUCAUUCCAAAAAUUAAUUCCUGAUCUUUCCUACAGAGUUCACUGAAGGUAAACUCUUCAGAUGGAGCAACAUGAAUAUGGCUUUCUAGUUCUGCUCUCAUUUUUAGAAGUUUCUGACCUAGAGUAAACUGGAACUUGUCUGAGCUUGCUGAUUAGAAGACUACGUUCUGCCUCUAAAGAUAAGAAAUUAUCAUGGAUCUGCACAAAGAUUUAGCUAUAAGAAUACUCAUCUCAAUGUAAUUCAUAACAGCAAGAAAGUGGAACAACCUAUGAGUCGGAAACGAUUUGGACUGGGCAGUGGGGACUGAGGAAUGUGCAUUUUCAGCAUUCGUCAUCCCCAUGGUGGGGGUCUACCAGAAGUUACAGAGAAAAUACACAUUACAUUGAUGUCGUCUAUGUAUGGUGUACAUUCCUUCUCAGCUCUGACAAGCUCGAUGACACACACAGAAGUCAGAGGCUGCACUCGAACCUGUGAUACUUGAAGCUUAACGUUCACAUCUAUUGUGAGAGAAGGAUUUCUUAUAAUGGUGCACUUGUCUGGUAUGUUUCAGACCGAUAGUUAAGACUAAGGCAAAUAUAGAAAGUUGGUCUUUCUUCAAAGGGUAGAAAAAAAUAUUUUCACUGAUGAAAGGAUUUAGGAGGUUGGAGAUCUAGGUUCUAUCUUCUUUAGCCAGAAGGGUCUCCCAGAAAUUAGGAAAAUUAAGGGCUGUGUCUGUAGAAAUGAUGCAUGGCCAUGUGGAAUCUUUGUAAAUUCCUUGAAAUGCUGGUGAAGGAAGAAUUCAGUGUGAUUUCUUGAUGCAACUGUCAAAAAGCUAGUUCACUGGGGCCAGCCCCACGGCUGAGUGGUUAGGUUCGCGUGCUCCGCUUUGGCAGCCCAGGGUUUUGCCGGUUUGGA